CCUCCGCCGGGAGGCUGGGACUUGUAGUGCUGUGUACGGCGAACUACAGCUCCCACAAUGCCCGACAGUGCCCGGAGCAACUUGUUGCAUCGUUGUGUUGAAACAGCUGAAAUCCAAGACCCAUGAAAGUAAAACUUCACCAACACAGUGGUGAAACCAAGUGGAAGAUGGAGAAUUUCCCAGACAAACUCUCUUUCUGGUUGGCAGCAGCACUCCAAGCCUGUCACAUCCCUGCAAUUUACAUUCCUGUGACCUAAUUUUUUUAUCCUGCAAACUCCAGUUCAGUGACAUCUCCUCAGAAUAACACCUGCCUCCCUGCUUGUCUCUGGUUUGAUCUGUCAGGUGAAGAAUUACUCGGUUUUAUUCUGCUUGUGAGAAGGCAUCAGCAGGGGUGCCGGGGUAACUGUGGCCCAGGAGGCUGGAAACAGCUGAAUGCAGAGACCCCUUGUGUGUUGAUGUUCCUCUUUAGUGAACCUUGAUUGACCAGGGCAAUGCUAGGAGGCUAAAAAAGUGCCAGGCUGGUGCCUGUCUUCAGGAAAGGAGGCUGCAUGAUAUGGAGGAAAUGCAGAUUUGAUAACAUCGGAUCUAUGGAUAAUGUUCUGGAUAAAUACCAAAAAAGGGUGUUAUGUCACUCAUUAAAGAAUUAGUAAUGCCAGUCAGAGGCCUAAUAGAAUUCUCAUUUAAUGCUUCUAAAAGACAACAAAUAAUUCAAUUUCUUCUGAAAGGAAAGAAAGCUGUAAUAAACUUUUAAAAGCAUUUUUACUUAGAACUGCACAAUAUUUUAAUUGAACAGGGUAAUAAAGCAUCAGUGAAGAAUACAUUAAACACUGGUCACAGAGAUUAUUUUUUUAUAAGUGGUUAUAAAUCACUGUUGAAUAAGGCUGCUUCUAAUAGGACCCUCCAGGAUCAUAUGUGCUACACACAUAUGUAAUCAAUAUUUUCAUUAGCCAUUUGGAAAUAAAUACAAAAUCAGCCCUAAUCCAAUUUGCAGAUGACAUCCUCAUCAGUCGGGUGGUACCACCAGGAUGACAAAGGACUGUCCGUCAAAAUAUGGUAAACUGGGUCUGGAAAAAAACUGGGGGAACACUAACUCUGAAGGGGGCAAUUAUAUAUCAUUUAUAUCAAGUAUACCAUAGACAGAGGCUCACAGAAUGACUCAGGCUGGAAGGGACCUCAAAGAUCAUCUCGUUCCACCCCCUGCCAUGGGCAGGGACACCUUCCACUAGACCAGGUUCCUCUGAGCCCCAUCCAGCCUGGCCUGGACCACUUCCAGGGACGGGGCAUUCACAAUUUCCGAGGACAGAUCCGUGAACACAUGGAGGGAACACGAGUUUAAGGUACCACAGGGGCUUUCUGGGGUUGCUAUGACACCGGGCUAAAGUGCUGGGGCUGCCGCUCAUGGGGCUGUGUGUGCUGGGGUGGGGGAGCACAGAAAGCCGCACAAAGGUGGGGUCACCUGGGGCGAGGUCACCUGGGGUCAGCACAGGGCCGAUUUCGCUAUCGGGGGUAGGGUUACCUGUACCGCCCAGAACAGCCGGGGAGGGGCACCACCGAAUGACAGAAUCAAUUCGGCUGGACAAGACCUCUGAGCUGACCGAGUCCCACGUCUGUCCGGACAGCCCCACGACCCU
Long non-coding RNA from Vidua macroura (Pin-tailed whydah), 1631 nucleotides. RefSeq lists it as uncharacterized. NCBI's taxonomy places the organism in Eukaryota, Metazoa, Chordata, Aves, Passeriformes, Viduidae. The record is from RefSeq and is a predicted model, not a curated record. The transcript is spliced from 3 exons.